Molecule: long non-coding RNA, 1027 nt
Filed under: Brassica rapa (field mustard)
Lineage: Eukaryota; Viridiplantae; Streptophyta; Magnoliopsida; Brassicales; Brassicaceae
Description: long non-coding RNA (BRAP_LNC001995)
Source: RNAcentral
GACGAUGCCACAGACGAAGCUGUUGAAGACGAGUUUAAUGAAAAUAAUGAUGUUUCUAGUGAUGACGAGAAUGUUGAUGUAUCCGAUUGAUGUAUUUGAUUUUAUGUAGUUUGUUUUAUGAAUAAGAUAAUGUGGGAGUUUGAUUUAUGAAUAAGGUAAUGUGAAAGUUUAUUUUAAUUAUGAAUAAGGACUUGUGGUUUGGGGUUUGGAAUAUAUUAUAAAUAGGGUUUGAGGUGAAAGAAUAGAUUGAGGUUCAAGGGUAGAUGGGUUUGGGGUUUGGAAUAUAUGAAGUAGAAGAUAAGGAAGAUGGGGUUUGGGGUUUCGGAGUUUAGGGAUUUAUACGUAAUACUCGUUAAUUCCUCGUAAGCCAAAAUCGUCGUAAGGUUGUCGUAAGGCCACGAGGAGUUUACGACGAAAUUAAAAAAAUAAAGAAAGCGGGACACGCUAAUUCCACGCAAGCCAAAAUCGUCGUAAGGUUGUCGUAAGGCCACGAGGAGUUUACGACGAAAUUAAAAAAAAUAAAGAAAGCAGGACACGCUAAUUCCACGUAAGACUCUCUGAGUGAAUGAAAAUAAGGAAUUGUGGUUUGGAAUGAAAAUAAAGAUAGGGUUUGGAAUAUAUGAAGUAGAAGAUAUGGGGUUUGGGGUUUGGGGUUUCGGGUUUUAGGGAUUUAAAUGGAAUACUCGUUAAUUCCUCGUAUGCUAACGUCGAACUUACGACGAAUUCCUCGUAAAUACCACGUAGGACAGAUUCGUCGUAAAUACCACGUAGGAGAGAUUCGUCGUAAAUACCACGUAGGACAGAUUCGUCGUAAAUACCACGUAGGACAGAUUCGUCGUAAAUACCACGUAGGAGAGAUUCGUCGUAAAUACCACGUAAAGUAAAUGAUGAACGCGGCCCACUUUAAUUCCACGUAGGACGGAAUCGUCGUAAACACCUCGUAACCAAAAUCGUCGUAAACACCUCGUACCGUAAAAACUAAAAAAAAAAAAAGAAAAAGAAGAAAUAUACUGGAUUUACAUGUGGC